RNAcentral lists this ribosomal RNA (269 nucleotides) under uncultured Planctomycetales bacterium. RNAcentral describes it as "partial 16S ribosomal RNA". It matches the Rfam family "Bacterial small subunit ribosomal RNA", at positions 567 to 832 of the family's 1533-position model. The record is from RNAcentral. Lineage: Bacteria; Pseudomonadati; Planctomycetota; Planctomycetia; Planctomycetales.
AAGCACGUAGGUGGGUUUGUAAGUCAGAUGUGAAAGCCUCCUGUUCAACGGGAGAAUUGCAUCUGAAACUACUGAUCUUGAGUGUAGGAGGGGAGAAUGGAACUUCUGGUGGAGCGGUGAAAUGCGUAGAUAUCAGAAGGAACGCCGGCGGCGAAAGCGAUUCUCUGGCCUAUUGCUGACACUCAGUGUGCGAAAGCUAGGGGAGCAAACGGGAUUAGAUACCCCGGUAGUCCUAGCCGUAAACUAUGGGCACUAAGUAGAGGGGUUUU